CCCGUACACAAAAUCGCAUGUGUUGUGAACUCGAAGAGUAGGGCGGGACACGUGGUAUCCUGUCUGAAUAUGGGGGGACCAUCCUCCAAGGCUAAAUACUCCUGACUGACCGAUAGUGAACCAGUACCGUGAGGGAAAGGCGAAAAGAACCCCGGCGAGGGGAGUGAAAAAGAACCUGAAACCGUGUACGUACAAGCAGUGGGAGCCUCUUUAUGGGGUGACUGCGUACCUUUUGUAUAAUGGGUCAGCGACUUAUAUUCUGUAGCAAGGUUAACCGAAUAGGGGAGCCGAAGGGAAACCGAGUCUUAACUGGGCGUUAAGUUGCAGGGUAUAGACCCGAAACCCGGUGAUCUAGCCAUGGGCAGGUUGAAGGUUGGGUAACACUAACUGGAGGACCGAACCGACUAAUGUUGAAAAAUUAGCGGAUGACUUGUGGCUGGGGGUGAAAGGCCAAUCAAACCGGGAGAUAGCUGGUUCUCCCCGAAAGCUAUUUAGGUAGCGCCUCGUGAAUUCAUCUUCGGGGGUAGAGCACUGUUUCGGCUAGGGGGUCAUCCCGACUUACCAACCCGAUGCAAACUGCGAAUACCGAAGAAUGUUAUCACGGGAGACACACGGCGGGUGCUAACGUCCGUCGUGAAGAGGGAAACAACCCAGACCGCCAGCUAAGGUCCCAAAGUCACAGUUAAGUGGGAAACGAUGUGGGAAGGCACAGACAGCCAGGAUGUUGGCUUAGAAGCAGCCAUCAUUUAAAGAAAGCGUAAUAGCUCACUGGUCGAGUCGGCCUGCGCGGAAGAUGUAACGGGGCUAAACUGUGCACCGAAGCUGCGGCAGCGACACUAUGUGUUGUUGGGUAGGGGAGCGUUCUGUAAGCCGUUGAAGGUGUCCUGUGAGGGGUGCUGGAGGUAUCAGAAGUGCGAAUGCUGACAUAAGUAACGAUAAUGCGGGUGAAAAACCCGCACGCCGGAAGACCAAGGGUUCCUGUCCAACGUUAAUCGGGGCAGGGUGAGUCGACCCCUAAGGCGAGGCCGAAAGGCGUAGUCGAUGGGAAACAGGUUAAUAUUCCUGUACUUGGUGUUACUGCGAAGGGGGGACGGAGAAGGCUAUGUUAGCCGGGCGACGGUUGUCCCGGUUUAAGCAUGUAGGCGGGAAGUUUAGGUAAAUCCGGACUUCUUUUAACGCUGAGGUGUGAUGACGAGGCACUACGGUGCUGAAGUAACAAAUGCCCUGCUUCCAGGAAAAGCCUCUAAGCAUCAGGUAACACGAAAUCGUACCCCAAACCGACACAGGUGGUCAGGUAGAGAAUACCAAGGCGCUUGAGAGAACUCGGGUGAAGGAACUAGGCAAAAUGGUGCCGUAACUUCGGGAGAAGGCACGCUGAUGGUAGGUGAAGCGACUUGCUCGUGGAGCUGAAAUCAGUCGAAGAUACCAGCUAUGUAGGUGAAGUGGUUUACCCAUGGAGCUGAAAUCAGUCGAAGAUACCAGCUGGCUGCAACUGUUUAUUAAAAACACAGCACUGUGCAAACACGAAAGUGGACGUAUACGGUGUGACGCCUGCCCGGUGCCGGAAGGUUAAUUGAUGGGGUUAUCCGUAAGGAGAAGCUCUUGAUCGAAGCCCCGGUAAACGGCGGCCGUAACUAUAACGGUCCUAAGGUAGCGAAAUUCCUUGUCGGGUAAGUUCCGACCUGCACGAAUGGCGUAAUGAUGGCCAGGCUGUCUCCACCCGAGACUCAGUGAAAUUGAACUCGCUGUGAAGAUGCAGUGUACCCGCGGCAAGACGGAAAGACCCCGUGAACCUUUACUAUAGCUUGACACUGAACACUGGUCCUUGAUGUGUAGGAUAGGUGGGAGGCUUUGAAGUGUGGACGCCAGUCUGCAUGGAGCCGACCUUGAAAUACCACCCUUUAAUGGCUGGUGUUCUAACGUAGACCCGUAAUCCGGGUUGCGGACAGUGUCUGGUGGGUAGUUUGACUGGGGCGGUCUCCUCCUAAAGAGUAACGGAGGAGCACGAAGGUUAGCUAAUCCUGGUCGGACAUCAGGAGGUUAGUGCAAAGGCAUAAGCUAGCUUGACUGCGAGAGUGACGGCUCGAGCAGGUGCGAAAGCAGGUCUUAGUGAUCCGGUGGUUCUGAAUGGAAGGGCCAUCGCUCAACGGAUAAAAGGUACUCCGGGGAUAACAGGCUGAUACCGCCCAAGAGUUCAUAUCGACGGCGGUGUUUGGCACCUCGAUGUCGGCUCAUCACAUCCUGGGGCUGAAGUAGGUCCCAAGGGUAUGGCUGUUCGCCAUUUAAAGUGGUACGCGAGCUGGGUUUAGAACGUCGUGAGACAGUUCGGUCCCUAUCUGCCGUGGGCGCUGGAGAAUUGAGGGGGGCUGCUCCUAGUACGAGAGGACCGGAGUGGACGCAUCACUGGUGUUCGGGUUGUCAUGCCAAUGGCAUUGCCCGGUAGCUAAAUGCGGAAGAGAUAAGUGCUGAAAGCAUCUAAGCACGAAACUUGCCCCGAGAUGAGUUCUCCCUGAGACUAUAAGUCUCCUGAAGGAACGUUAAAGACUAUGACGUUGAUAGGUCGGGUGUGUAAGUGUAGCGAUACAUUGAGCUAACCGAUACUAAUGAACCGUGAGGCUUAACCUUACAACGCCGAAGGUGUUU
Molecule: ribosomal RNA, 2643 nt
Filed under: Citrobacter sp. wls619
Lineage: Bacteria; Pseudomonadati; Pseudomonadota; Gammaproteobacteria; Enterobacterales; Enterobacteriaceae
Description: partial 23S ribosomal RNA
Rfam family: Bacterial large subunit ribosomal RNA
Source: RNAcentral